Molecule: ribosomal RNA, 375 nt
Filed under: Ummeliata feminea
Lineage: Eukaryota; Metazoa; Arthropoda; Arachnida; Araneae; Linyphiidae
Description: partial 16S ribosomal RNA
Source: RNAcentral
AAAAACAUUUCUUAUAAUAUCUUUAUAAGUAUAAUCUGCUCAAUGAAUUUUAAAUAGCCGCAGAUUCCUGUGUUAAGGUAGCAUAAUCAUUUACCUUUUAAUUAAAGGUUUGUAUGAAAGAUUGAACAGCUAAAUUUCUUUUUUAUUAAUUUUUAUUAAAUCUAAAUUAAAAAUAAAAAUGUUUUUAUAUAAAAAAUAGACGAUAAGACCCUAUUGAACUUUACUUUAGUUUAGCUGGGGAAGCUGAUUAAACAUAAUUUUAAUAAAUUAUCUAGAAUAUAUUCCUAAUUAAAUUAUAUUAAACAAGUUACCAUAGGGAUAACAGCGUAAUAAAAUUUAAAAGAUCAUAUUAAAAAUUAAGCUUACGACCUCGAU